GACGAACGCUGGCGGCGUGCCUAAUACAUGCAAGUAGAACGCUGAAGGAGGAGCUUGCUUCUCCGGAUGAGUUGCGAACGGGUGAGUAACGCGUAGGUAACCUGCCUGGUAGCGGGGGAUAACUCUUGGAAACGAUAGCUAAUACCGCAUAAGAGUAGAUGUUGCAUGACAUUUGCUUAAAAGGUGCAAUUGCAUCACUACCAGAUGGACCUGCGUUGUAUUAGCUAGUUGGUGAGGUAACGGCUCACCAAGGCGACGAUACAUAGCCGGCCUGAGAGGGUGAUCGGCCACACUGGGACUGAGACACGGCCCAGACUCCUACGGGAGGCAGCAGUAGGGAAUCUUCGGCAAUGGACGGAAGUCUGACCGGGCAACGCCGCGUGAGUGAAGAAGGUUUUCGGAUCGUAAAACUCUGUUGAAAGAGAAGAACGAGUGUGGGAGUGGAAAGUUCACACUGUGACGGUAUCUUACCAGAAAGGGACGGCUAACUACGUG
RNAcentral lists this ribosomal RNA (495 nucleotides) under uncultured bacterium. RNAcentral's name for it is "partial 16S ribosomal RNA". It matches the Rfam family "Bacterial small subunit ribosomal RNA", at positions 28 to 507 of the family's 1533-position model. The record is from RNAcentral.